Molecule: ribosomal RNA, 750 nt
Filed under: uncultured bacterium
Lineage: Bacteria
Description: bacterial SSU rRNA
Rfam family: Bacterial small subunit ribosomal RNA
Source: RNAcentral
AGAGUUUGAUCCUGGCUCAGGAUAAACGCUGGCGGCAUGCCUAAUACAUGCAAGUCGAACGGGAGAGCUUGCUCUCCAGUGGCGAACGGGUGAGUAACACGUAUCUAAUCUACCUUAAAGCGGGGGAUAGCCUUUGGAAACGAAGGGUAAUACCGCAUGUGAGCACUAUUAUCGCAUGAGAAAGUGCUGAAAGUUCCGUUUGGAACACUUUAAGAUGAGGAUGCGGCGUAUUAGCUAGUAGGCGGGGUAAUGGCCCACCUAGGCAAUGAUACGUAGCCGAACUGAGAGGUUGAUCGGCCACAUUGGGACUGAGAUACGGCCCAGACUCCUACGGGAGGCAGCAGUAGGGAAUUUUUCACAAUGGACGAAAGUCUGAUGAAGCAAUGCCGCGUGAGUGAUGAAGGUCUUCGGAUCGUAAAACUCUGUUGUAAGGGAGGAAAAUUUAGGAUAGGAAACGAUCUUAAACUGACGGUACCUUACCAGAAAGCCACGGCUAACUAUGUGCCAGCAGCCGCGGUAAUACAUAGGUGGCAAGCGUUAUCCGGAUUUAUUGGGCGUAUAGGGUGCGUAGGCGGUUUUGUAAGUUCAUGGUCAAAUCCCGAGGCUCAACCUCGGUUCGCCGUGAAAACUACAUCACUAGAAUACAAGAGAGGUAAACGGAAUUCCAUGUGUAGCGGUGAAAUGCGUAGAUAUAUGGAAGAACACCUGUGGCGAAAGCGGUUUACUGGCUUGUUAUUGACGCUGAGGCAC